This 497-nucleotide ribosomal RNA is filed under the name uncultured bacterium. RNAcentral's name for it is "partial 16S ribosomal RNA". It matches the Rfam family "Bacterial small subunit ribosomal RNA", at positions 28 to 507 of the family's 1533-position model. The record is from RNAcentral.
GAUGAACGCUGGCGGCGUGCCUAAUACAUGCAAGUCGAGCGAACGGACGAGAAGCUUGCUUCUCUGAUGUUAGCGGCGGACGGGUGAGUAACACGUGGAUAACCUACCUAUAAGACUGGGAUAACUUCGGGAAACCGGAGCUAAUACCGGAUAAUAUUUUGAACCGCAUGGUUCAAAAGUGAAAGACGGUCUUGCUGUCACUUAUAGAUGGAUCCGCGCUGCAUUAGCUAGUUGGUAAGGUAGCGGCUUACCAAGGCAACGAUGCAUAGCCGACCUGAGAGGGUGAUCGGCCACACUGGAACUGAGACACGGUCCAGACUCCUACGGGAGGCAGCAGUAGGGAAUCUUCCGCAAUGGGCGAAAGCCUGACGGAGCAACGCCGCGUGAGUGAUGAAGGUCUUCGGAUCGUAAAGCUCUGUUAUUAGGGAAGAACAUAUGUGUAAGUAACUGUGCACAUCUUGACGGUACCUAAUCAGAAAGCCACGGCUAACUACGUG